UACAGAGGUGGCAAGCGUUGUUCGGAAUUACUGGGCGUAAAGGGCGCGUAGGCGGCCUUCUAAGUCAGACGUGAAAUCCCCCGGCUUAACCUGGGAACUGCGUCUGAUACUGGAGGGCUUGAGUGCGGGAGAGGGAUGUGGAAUUCCAGGUGUAGCGGUGAAAUGCGCAGAUAUCAGGAAGAACACCAAUGGCGAAGGCAGCUCUCUGGGACGGUACUGACGCUGAGACGCGAAAGCGUGGGGAGCGAACAGG
Molecule: ribosomal RNA, 253 nt
Filed under: uncultured bacterium
Lineage: Bacteria
Description: partial 16S ribosomal RNA
Rfam family: Bacterial small subunit ribosomal RNA
Source: RNAcentral